This 647-nucleotide ribosomal RNA is filed under the name uncultured Malassezia. RNAcentral describes it as "eukaryotic LSU rRNA". The stretch from base 164 to 317 matches the Rfam family "5.8S ribosomal RNA". Lineage: Eukaryota; Fungi; Basidiomycota; Malasseziomycetes; Malasseziales; Malasseziaceae. The record is from RNAcentral.
CCUACACCCACUAUACAUCCACAAACCCGUGUGCACUGUCUUGGAGAAAGGCUUCAGAGAAGUUUUUUGUGGCCUCUCUUGGGGUCUUUCUUCGCUACAAACUCGAAUGGUUAGUAUGAACGUGGAACUUGGUUGGACCGUCACUGGCCAACAAACUAUACACAACUUUCGACAACGGAUCUCUUGGUUCUCCCAUCGAUGAAGAACGCAGCGAAACGCGAUAGGUAAUGUGAAUUGCAGAAUUCCGUGAAUCAUCGAAUCUUUGAACGCACCUUGCGCUCUAUGGCAAUCCGUAGAGCAUGCCUAUUUGAGUGCCAUGAAAUCUCCCACCCCAAGCGGUUUCUAAAUGAAACGGCUUGGCGGAUGGGGUCUGGAUGGGUGCCUCUGCCUGCGCUACCUAGCACAGGCUCGCCCGAAAUGCAUGAGCGCCUUGAGACACUUUGCAUCCGCCUCUCUGUUUGGGAGGAGGCGGCCAAGCAGUGUUUUUCUCCUGGCAUGGCAUGAUACGUCAUUUGCUAUGUCGCCUAAAGGAGGAAUGUUUGGUUGUGUCUGCGUGUGCUUCGAACUUUGCCUCUGUGGCACAUCCCAAUUUCACCUCUGGUCUCAAAUCAGGUAGGAUCACCCGCUGAACUUAAGCAUAUCAAUAA